NNCCAGUUGACGAGUCCCAAAUAGGACGAAAUGCGCAUCCUAGAU
This 45-nucleotide non-coding RNA is filed under the name Trichobilharzia regenti. Lineage: Eukaryota; Metazoa; Platyhelminthes; Trematoda; Strigeidida; Schistosomatidae. The record is from RNAcentral.